Non-coding RNA from Coturnix japonica (Japanese quail), 895 nucleotides. NCBI's taxonomy places the organism in Eukaryota, Metazoa, Chordata, Aves, Galliformes, Phasianidae. The record is from RefSeq and is a predicted model, not a curated record.
CAGCUCAGGGCCCAGAGCAGAGGGGAGCAGGCAGAGGCAGGGCCUUGGGGCCCAGGAUGGAGGAGGACCAGGCACAGCUGGGGCCAGCUCAGGGCCCAGAGCAGAGGGGGACCAGGCACAGCUGAGGCCACUGCAGGGCCCAGUUCCAACCAGGUGGACUCGCAGUGUCUUGCAAGUGACACCUGGAAGCAGGUACAGACUGGAGACACAGCACCCUCAAUGUCCAGGUGAGUAACAGCAGCCAAGGAGGCCUUUGGGCUCUGCAGGGUCCAAGUGUGGAGCAUUACACAGUGGCAGAGCUGCAGAGCUUGCCAUAGUAGGGAGGCACAGUGGCUCAGCUCAUUUCCCACAGUAACACAGGAAAUAAGAGCCAUGAGGGAAAUGCAGAUGCCUUCUGCCUUCCUCUUUUGUCUCAUGCCUUCUGCCCCCAUCAGAGGGGAGGAAUGAGCUGCACUUCCACAGAGACAUUCCUCUCACAGCCACUCACACCUCAGGUGUGGAGGGACGAGCUGGGGCUGCUGGUGGCAGCUGUGGAACACUGCCAUCUGUGGUGCUCCAUCCUACCCUGGAGGUGGGCAUGUAGAGCUGAGGACCUUUGUCACUGCACAAAUGACUGCAAGCAGAGAUGUAGCAGAGGGAACACAAAGCAUUUAAUAACUUAUCAUACAAAGCAAUGAGUAAUAGAAAUGACAAUAUUUCCAACCAAAUAUCCCCCAUCCUAACAGUCAUAUCUGAUCUCUACAAUCCCACCCAAACAAUUUCCCAGCCCCCUCCAAUUCCUCCUCACUAUCCCACCCCUGAAUUUCCCUCCCCCAAUUCCCACACAGUAAUUGCCCACACUAAUUACCAGCAUGCAGGGCAUGGGGAACACCUGUUCCUUGUGUGCAGACACCUG